RNAcentral lists this non-coding RNA (22 nucleotides) under Arabidopsis thaliana (thale cress). Lineage: Eukaryota; Viridiplantae; Streptophyta; Magnoliopsida; Brassicales; Brassicaceae. The record is from RNAcentral.
UUGUACACUAAAAGUGGUGUAC